GAUUGCAGGCUGCAACUCGCCUGCAUGAAGUCGGAAUUGCUAGUAAUCGUGGAUCAGCAUGCCACGGUGAAUACGUUCCCGGGCCUUGUACACACCGCCCGUCACACCAUGGGAGUCGGUAACACCCGAAGCCUGUAGUCUAACCGCAAGGAGGACGCAGUCGAAGGUGGGAUUGAUGACUGGGGUGAAGUCGUAACAAGGUACC
Molecule: ribosomal RNA, 205 nt
Filed under: uncultured bacterium
Lineage: Bacteria
Description: partial 16S ribosomal RNA
Rfam family: Bacterial small subunit ribosomal RNA
Source: RNAcentral